AUACGUCCUAGUAUUUCAUUGAGAGAUAAAAUUCAUCAAGCCAUCCAAAUUAGAGUAGCAUGCACGUCUGCCAUCCAGUCUAGAGAGUAAAAAAAUGAUAAGUAAAAGGAAAGAGUAGCCUAGUACUGCACUACUAGUACUUUACUCGUUGAACCCAGCUCGUUCCUCUCCUCGUCUUCUCUGUUAUCCCAAGAACAGAACCAACCACACCCACCUCUCUCUCCCCCCAAGAACAGAGCAUGGCCGCCGCUGCCUCGAUCUGCCCUGUCCAGGCAUCUCCGGCGACACAGCGGACACCUACAGAUUCUCCUCGUCUCCCUCUAUCAUUUCCCCCUAUUUAUUUGAUCCGCCGCCACCACAAAUGUCGCCACCAUUCAAUCCUAGGGCCGCCUGGUUCAGGUCCAGUGGGCUCACCACCGGCUGCAGCGGCGACAAUGUCUCCAUGCCUACAUCCUCCCCUAGUGCAGCCACACGCACGAGGCGUGGACCCACGACCGAACCGGCGCCCCUCCGGCAGCAUGGUCGCUACCGGCGUCCUACCCGCCUUCGUCUAUGCUACUACUCAAAGUAAAUAGAUCAAGGUGAAAAGAUGCUCAUGGACUGAUUCAAAUCGAGGUGAAGAUAGACAAGAAGUCAAGCAAGAAGGGCUAACACAACAAGGUACUUGAUUAGUACCUGGUGGCGCAUGCAACCCAAAGGGCUUCACCGCAGUGAAGGACAGCAGUGUGGCAGAAGGUGAAAAGGCAAGUGGUGGGGGUACUCCAGCGUAUGUGUGUGUGUGAGGUAGAAUGGUCCACAGUGAAAGAGCUGCUAUAGUUUGGAGAGGCAUUACAUCUGGCAUGCAUGCGUGAUUAGGCUUGCAUGCAUGCCUCCACUUCUGUCUCUUGUGGGCUGUACUAGGGAUAAGUGUAAUUUUCUUGGCUGGCCAUUAGUUGGCAUUUACUUUGUGUGUAAGAAAAUGAGACAAGGAUUCAAUCAUAAAUUUGUGAAAUAUAUGAAGCUUUGGAGAAGAAUUGUUUUGUAAA
This is a long non-coding RNA of Triticum aestivum (bread wheat), 1025 nucleotides long. RefSeq lists it as uncharacterized. The transcript has 2 exons. The record is from RefSeq and is a predicted model, not a curated record. Lineage: Eukaryota; Viridiplantae; Streptophyta; Magnoliopsida; Poales; Poaceae.